This 429-nucleotide long non-coding RNA is filed under the name Trifolium pratense (red clover). RNAcentral describes it as "long non-coding RNA (TPRA_LNC001607)". Lineage: Eukaryota; Viridiplantae; Streptophyta; Magnoliopsida; Fabales; Fabaceae. The record is from RNAcentral.
UUCCUUUUAUUCCUACACUACCCUUCAUAGCUAUCAUCAAUCACCCCCACCGGGACUCAUUAUGCAACAUUCACAGCCACACAAUCAGGCUCCACUACACAAACCUCUAUGCUAAUAUGUGGAAAAUGGAAGAUGAAAUAUCAAGAAUAAAUGUUUAUGAAACAUGGAGAAAAAGAUUUGAGUGAUGGGAGAAGAACAUUGAGAGAUGAUGGAGGAAGAAGAAAGGUUUGAAUCUGAGAUGUAAACUUGAGGUAUAAAACUAUGGAAAUUUCUGGAAAAAUGGAGGUGGGUGGUGGCGUGGUGCCAUUGAGAGAGAGGGACACAUUUGCAUUGGAUUUUUCUAUUGGGUUUGGAUGUUUUUGUUUGAAAAAUCACAAAAAACUAUUGGGCUGAAUUUUCAUAUAGAGUGGUCCAGUAAAAAUUAGGACC